UCAUUAGUUGCCAUCAGGUAAAGCUGGGAACUCUAAUGAAACUGCCGUCGUAAGACGUGAGGAAGGAGGGGAUGAUGUCAAGUCAUCAUGGCCUUUAUGCCCAGGGCUACACACGUGCUACAAUGGGGAGGACAAAGGGCUGCCACUUGGCGACAAGGAGCUAAUCCCAAAAACCUCCUCUCAGUUCAGAUUGGAGUCUGCAACUCGACUCCAUGAAGCUGGAAUCGCUAGUAAUCGUAUAUCAGCAAUGAUACGGUGAAUACGUUCCCGGACCUUGCACACACCGCCCGUCAAGCCAUGGAAGCCGGGUGUACCUAAAGUCGGUAACCGCAAGGAGCCGCCUAGGGUAAAACUGGUGACUGGGGCUAAGUCGUAACAAGGUAGCCGUAUCGGAAGGUGCGGCUGGAAUACCUCCUUU
Molecule: ribosomal RNA, 418 nt
Filed under: Oscillatoriaceae cyanobacterium M33_DOE_052
Lineage: Bacteria; Bacillati; Cyanobacteriota; Cyanophyceae; Oscillatoriales; Oscillatoriaceae
Description: Bacterial small subunit ribosomal RNA
Rfam family: Bacterial small subunit ribosomal RNA
Source: Rfam by way of RNAcentral